GAUGAAGAACGUAGCGAAAUGCGAUAAGUAGUGUGAAUUGCAGAAUUCAGUGAAUCAUCGAAUCUUUGAACGCACAUUGUGCCCCUUGGUAUCCCGAGGGGCAUGCCUGUUCGAGCGUCAUUUCACCACUCAAGCCUGGCUUGGUGUUGGGCGACGUCCCCUUUGGGGACGCGCCUCGAAACGCUCGGCGGCGUGGCACCGGCUUUAAGCGUAGCAGAAUCUUUCGCUUUGGAAGUCGGGGCCCCGUCUGCCGGAAGACCUGCUCGCAAGGUUGACCUCGGAUCAGGCAGGGAUACCCGCUGAACUUAAGCAUAUCAAUAAGCGGAGGA
This 329-nucleotide unclassified non-coding RNA is filed under the name soil metagenome. RNAcentral's name for it is "partial contains 5.8S ribosomal RNA, internal transcribed spacer 2, and large subunit ribosomal RNA". The stretch from base 1 to 120 matches the Rfam family "5.8S ribosomal RNA", at positions 35 to 154 of the family's 154-position model. The record is from RNAcentral.